UCCGAAGGGGGCUAGCGUUGUUCGGAAUUACUGGGCGUAAAGCGCGCGCAGGCGGCCAUUCAAGUCAGGGGUGAAAGCCCAGAGCUCAACUCUGGAACUGCCCUUGAAACUGUAUGGCUUGAGUAUGAGAGAGGUGAGUGGAAUUCCCAGUGUAGAGGUGAAAUUCGUAGAUAUUGGGAAGAACACCGGUGGCGAAGGCGGCUCACUGGCUCAUUACUGACGCUCAGGCGCGACAGCGUGGGGAUCAAACAGG
Molecule: ribosomal RNA, 253 nt
Filed under: uncultured bacterium
Lineage: Bacteria
Description: partial 16S ribosomal RNA
Rfam family: Bacterial small subunit ribosomal RNA
Source: RNAcentral